GAUUAACGCUAGCGGCAGGCAUAAUACAUGCAAGUUGAACGGCAGCACAGGUAGCAAUACUGGGUGGCGAGUGGCGCACGGGUGCGUAACACGUAUGCAACCUACCCUAUACAUGCGAAUAACCUUUAGAAAUGAGGGCUAAUACGCCGUAGUAUUACAGCUGGGCAUCUAUUUGUAAUUAAAGAUUUAUCGGUAUAGGAUGGGCAUGCGUCCCAUUAGUUAGUUGGUAAGGUAACGGCUUACCAAGACGAUGAUGGGUAGGGGAUCUGAGAGGACUUACCCCCACACUGGUACGGAGACACGGACCAGACUCCUACGGGAGGCAGCAGUAAGGAAUAUUGUGCAAUGGCCGCGAGGCUGACCCAGCCAUGCCGCGUGCAGGAAGACGGCCUUAUGGGUUGUAAACUGCUUUUAUACGGGAAUAAUAGAGUGUACGCGUACAUUUAUGCAAGUAUCGUAUGAAUAAGCAUCGGCUAACUCCGUG
RNAcentral lists this ribosomal RNA (484 nucleotides) under uncultured bacterium. RNAcentral's name for it is "partial 16S ribosomal RNA". It matches the Rfam family "Bacterial small subunit ribosomal RNA", at positions 28 to 507 of the family's 1533-position model. The record is from RNAcentral.